UCCUCAUCUAUAAAUACAGCCCCAUGGAACCAUGGCAAAUCCAUUGCAAGCUACCUCAACAACUACAAGAAAAACCCUAUAGUUUUCACGUUCAAAAACUCUCCCACAUUCACCAUGUCUGACAAGUGCGGGCAACUGCGACUGCUCUGACAGCAGCCAAUGCACGAAGAAGGGAAACACCAUGGUCAUUGAGACUGAGAAGAGCUACAUCAACACUGUCGUGAUGGAUGCUACAGCUGAGAACGAUGGCAACUGCAAGUGCGGUGCUAACUGCAGCUGCACCAACUGCACAUGCGAUCAUUAAG
This is a long non-coding RNA of Hibiscus syriacus, 305 nucleotides long. RefSeq lists it as uncharacterized. NCBI's taxonomy places the organism in Eukaryota, Viridiplantae, Streptophyta, Magnoliopsida, Malvales, Malvaceae. The record is from RefSeq and is a predicted model, not a curated record. The transcript is spliced from 3 exons.